RNAcentral lists this ribosomal RNA (589 nucleotides) under Kryptoperidinium foliaceum. Its description in RNAcentral is "partial Bacterial large subunit ribosomal RNA". It matches the Rfam family "Bacterial large subunit ribosomal RNA", at positions 1275 to 1978 of the family's 2925-position model. Lineage: Eukaryota; Dinophyceae; Peridiniales; Kryptoperidiniaceae. The record is from RNAcentral.
GGAGUUAUCAGAAGUGAGAAUGCUGACAUGAGUAACGAUAAAGGGGGUGAAAAACCCCCUCGCCGGAAGACCAAGGUUUCCUGUCCCAUGCUAAUCAGGGCAGGGUUAGUCGGCCCCUAAGGCGAGGCCGAAAGGCGUAGUCGAUGGGAACCACGUUAAUAAUCGUGGGCCUGGUGGUAGUGACGGAUCUCGUGUGUUGUAUCUCCUUAUUGGAUUGGAGGUGCAGCGAAGAGGUUCCAGGAAAUAGCUCCACCGUAUAAACCGUACCCGAAACCGACACAGGUGGUCAGGUAGAGAAUACCAAGGCGCUUGAGAGAACUAUGCUGAAGGAACUCGGCAAAAUGCUCCCGUAAGUUCGCGAGAAGGGAGACCUCCACUUAGGCAACUAGGUGGGGGUGGCACAGACCAGGGGGUGGCGACUGUUUAUUAAAAACACAGGGCUCUGCGAAGUCGUAAGACGACGUAUAGGGUCUGACGCCUGCCCGGUGCCGGAAGGUUAAAAGGAGGGGUGAGAGCUCCGAAUUGAAGCCCCGGUAAACGGCGGCCGUAACGAUAACGGUCCUAAGGUAGCGAAAUUCCUUGUCGGGUA